Molecule: ribosomal RNA, 458 nt
Filed under: uncultured beta proteobacterium
Lineage: Bacteria; Pseudomonadati; Pseudomonadota; Betaproteobacteria
Description: bacterial SSU rRNA
Rfam family: Bacterial small subunit ribosomal RNA
Source: RNAcentral
AGGCCUCGCGCGAUUGGAGCGGCCGAUGUCGGAUUAGCUAGUUGGUAGGGUAAAGGCCUACCAAGGCGACGAUCCGUAGCGGGUCUGAGAGGAUGAUCCGCCACACUGGGACUGAGACACGGCCCAGACUCCUACGGGAGGCAGCAGUGGGGAAUUUUGGACAAUGGGCGAAAGCCUGAUCCAGCCAUGCCGCGUGAGUGAAGAAGGCCUUCGGGUUGUAAAGCUCUUUCAGACGGAAAGAAAUCGCAUCUUCUAAUACAGGGUGUGGAUGACGGUGUAGAAGAAGCACCGGCUAACUACGUGCCAGCAGCCGCGGUAAUACGUAGGGUGCGAGCGUUAAUCGGAAUUACUGGGCGUAAAGCGUGCGCAGGCGGUGAUGUAAGACAGAUGUGAAAUCCCCGGGCUCAACCUGGGAACUGCGUUUGUGACUGCAUCACUCGAGUACGGCAGAGGGAGGU